This 455-nucleotide ribosomal RNA is filed under the name Bacillus paralicheniformis. RNAcentral's name for it is "partial 23S ribosomal RNA". It matches the Rfam family "Bacterial large subunit ribosomal RNA", at positions 1 to 447 of the family's 2925-position model. Lineage: Bacteria; Bacillati; Bacillota; Bacilli; Caryophanales; Bacillaceae. The record is from RNAcentral.
CGGUUAAGUUAGAAAGGGCGCACGGUGGAUGCCUUGGCACUAGGAGCCGAUGAAGGACGGGACGAACACCGAUAUGCUUCGGGGAGCUGUAAGCAAGCUUUGAUCCGGAGAUUUCCGAAUGGGGAAACCCACUGCUCGUAAUGGAGCAGUAUCCAUAUCUGAAUUCAUAGGAUAUGAGAAGGCAGACCCGGGGAACUGAAACAUCUAAGUACCCGGAGGAAGAGAAAGCAAAUGCGAUUCCCUGAGUAGCGGCGAGCGAAACGGGAUUAGCCCAAACCAAGAGGCUUGCCUCUUGGGGUUGUAGGACACUCUGUACGGAGUUACAAAAGAACGAGGUAGAUGAAGAGGUCUGGAAAGGCCCGCCAUAGGAGGUAACAGCCCUGUAGUCAAAACUUCGUUCUCUCCUGAGUGGAUCCUGAGUACGGCGGAACACGUGAAAUUCCGUCGGAAUCCGG